UGCGAGUCUUUGCAGUAAUGCAAGGCAUACGGCUCAGUAACACGCAGUCAGCUUACCCUAUGGACGAGGAUAAUCUCGGGAAACUGAGCAUAAUACUCGAUAGAUCAUAAUGCCUGGAGUGGUUUAUGGUUGAAAUGAUUCGUCGCCAUAGGAUGGGACUGCGGCCUAUCAGCUUGUUGGUGAGGUAAUGGCCCACCAAGGCGAUUACAGGUACGGGCUCUGAGAGGAGAAGCCCGGAGAUGGGUACUGAGACAAGGACCCAGGCCCUAUGGGGCGCAGCAGGCGAGAAAACUUUGCAAUGUGCGAAAGCACGACAAGGUUAAUCCGAGUGAUUUCUGCUAAAGAAAUCUUUUGCAAGUCAUAAAACCACUAGUGAAUAAGGGGUGGGCAAGUUCUGGUGUCAGCCGCCGCGGUAAAACCAGCACCUCAAGUGGUCAGGAGGAUUAUUGGGCCUAAAGCAUCCGUAGCCGGCUCCGUAAGUUUCCGGUUAAAUCCAUGUGCUCAACGCAUGGGCUGCCGAAAACACUGCAUAGCUAGGGAGUGGGAGAGGUAGACGGUACUCGGUAGGAAGGGGUAAAAUCCUUUGAUCUAUCGAUGACCACCUGUGGCGAAGGCGGUCUACCA
RNAcentral lists this ribosomal RNA (624 nucleotides) under uncultured archaeon. RNAcentral's name for it is "bacterial SSU rRNA". It matches the Rfam family "Archaeal small subunit ribosomal RNA", at positions 52 to 682 of the family's 1478-position model. The record is from RNAcentral.